AGAUUAAACUGAAGAGUUUGAUCCUGGCUCAGAUUGAACGCUGGCGGCAUGCUUUACACAUGCAAGUCGAACGGCAGCGCGGGGCAACCUGGCGGCGAGUGGCG
This 104-nucleotide ribosomal RNA is filed under the name Massilia polaris. RNAcentral's name for it is "partial 16S ribosomal RNA". It matches the Rfam family "Bacterial small subunit ribosomal RNA", at positions 1 to 100 of the family's 1533-position model. Lineage: Bacteria; Pseudomonadati; Pseudomonadota; Betaproteobacteria; Burkholderiales; Oxalobacteraceae. The record is from RNAcentral.